This 552-nucleotide ribosomal RNA is filed under the name uncultured bacterium. RNAcentral describes it as "partial 16S ribosomal RNA". It matches the Rfam family "Bacterial small subunit ribosomal RNA", at positions 355 to 899 of the family's 1533-position model. The record is from RNAcentral.
UAGGGAAUCUUCCACAAUGGACGCAAGUCUGAUGGAGCAACGCCGCGUGAGUGAAGAAGGUUUUCGGACCGUAAAGCUCUGUUGUUGGUGAAGAAGGAUAGAGGUAGUAACUGGCCUUUAUUUGACGGUAAUCAACCAGAAAGUCACGGCUAACUACGUGCCAGCAGCCGCGGUAAUCGUAGGUGGCAAGCGUUGUCCGGAUUUAUUGGGCGUAAAGCGAGCGCAGGCGGAAGAAUAAGUCUGAUGUGAAAGCCCUCGGCUUAACCGAGGAAUUGCAUCGGAAACUGUUUUCUUGAGUGCAGAAGAGGAGAGUAGAACUCCAUGUGUAGCGGUGGAAUGCGUAGAUAUAUGGAAGAAUACCAGUGGCGAAGGCGGCUCUCUGGUCUGCAACUGACGCUGAGGCUCGAAAGCAUGGGUAGCGAACAGGAUUAGAUACCCUGGUAGUCCAUGCCGUAAACGAUGAGUGCUAAGUGUUGGGAGGCUUCCGCCUCUCAGUGCUGCAGCUAACGCAUUAAGCACUCCGCCUGGGGGAGUACGACCGCAAGGUUAAAC